AGUGGGGAAUAUUGGACAAUGGGGGGAACCCUGAUCCAGCCAUGCCGCGUGUGUGAAGAAGGCCUUAUGGUUGUAAAGCACUUUAAGCGAGGAGGAGGGUACUGGUAUUAAUACUACCAGGUACUGGACGUUACUCGCAGAAUAAGCACCGGCUAACUCUGUGCCAGCAGCCGCGGUAAUACAGAGGGUGCGAGCGUUAAUCGGAUUUACUGGGCGUAAAGCGUGCGUAGGCGGCUAAUUGAGUCGGAUGUGAAAUCCCCGAGCUUAACUUGGGAAUUGCAUUCGAUACUGGUUAGCUAGAGUGUGGGAGAGGAUGGUAGAAUUCCAGGUGUAGCGGUGAAAUGCGUAGAGAUCUGGAGGAAUACCGAUGGCGAAGGCAGCCAUCUGGCCUAACACUGACGCUGAGGUACGAAAGCAUGGGGAGCAAA
Molecule: ribosomal RNA, 428 nt
Filed under: uncultured Acinetobacter sp.
Lineage: Bacteria; Pseudomonadati; Pseudomonadota; Gammaproteobacteria; Moraxellales; Moraxellaceae
Description: bacterial SSU rRNA
Rfam family: Bacterial small subunit ribosomal RNA
Source: RNAcentral